UUAGAGCUGAAUCGCUGAGUGUGUCU
RNAcentral lists this non-coding RNA (26 nucleotides) under Homo sapiens (human). The record is from RNAcentral. Lineage: Eukaryota; Metazoa; Chordata; Mammalia; Primates; Hominidae.